CGGGAAGUAGCUCAGCCUUGGUAGAGCACUUGGUUUGGGACCAAGGGUCGCAGGUUCGAAUCCUGUCUUCCGACCA
RNAcentral lists this transfer RNA (76 nucleotides) under Priestia megaterium. RNAcentral's name for it is "Bacillus megaterium tRNA-Pro". It matches the Rfam family "tRNA". From Rfam's summary of the family: Transfer RNA (tRNA) molecules are approximately 80 nucleotides in length. The record is from RNAcentral. Lineage: Bacteria; Bacillati; Bacillota; Bacilli; Caryophanales; Bacillaceae.